UUUUGAUCCACGUUAGUUGGAGACAGCAUGGUUAAUGUAGGCUUGGUUUAAAGGAAGGUCUUGUUAACAUAAUUAUGACCUUAUAGCCUACAGGGCAUUUUAAAAAUUGGACUUCUCUUUUAGUUCACAUUUAUGAACAAACAUAUAGUUGCUGGGAGUUCACAAAUAUUUUCCCAGAUUAGUUCAGUAGUUUUUUCUUUUUAAGGAAAGAUUCUCUGCCUGUGUAAUAGAAUAGUUCUAACCUGCUGGGCUAAAAACCCAAAAAACAUUCUCUGAAGGGACCAUACUUACUGUUAACAGUUUUGGUUGGUUAAUAGAUGUGGAUCAUAUCCCACCGCUCUCAAUUUUAUUUUGUCAUCUUCCUCCCCCCCCCCUUGCUUUUAAAUUAAAAACAAACUAAAUUGAACAUGCCAUUGGGAAUCAGAAGUCGAGAUGAUUUAAUUCUCAUUGAGAUCAUUGUACUUUCUGAAAAUUGCUGUGAGAUCUGGUAGGUCAGGUACAUAUAUGAGUUCCCAUAUGUUUAUUAAUUAAAAAUAGGGAUUUUCAUUAUUUCAUUUUCCUGAAGAGGAUUCUUACGGAGCUAUGUGUAGAUAACUGUACAGAAUCACUUUUGUGUAAUUGAGUGAAGCAGUUUACCUCUGCAUGAUUGCAUUAUGGAAGCCUUUUAUAUAUCUUUAUAUUUUUCAAUAUACUUAGAUUUUACACUAUCAGCUGCCCUAGUCAUGCUAUAUUUGUUUUUUUUUAAUAGAGUUUAUAAAUAUUUGUGCUCAAAAUACAGAUCAAUUGAAUAUUUUUGGUCUUGUUUACAAGAUAAAUAAUACUUUAAAGUGAUGCAGCCCCUCAAGUGUCUUAGGAAAAAGUCAUUGGUGCUACAAAACCUUUCAAUAUCAUUUUCAACCUGUUAUCUAGACUUUGCUAGGCUUAAAUCUAUGAUUGCUUAUAACUUAAUCUAAUCUAGCAGCAUAAUUAUAAAAGUGGUCUGCGGUGAGUCGGGUAAAGAGCCCAGCCAAUUAGAAACAUCCCAUAAUUUAAAGAUAAGAUGGAGAAUGACAUUAUACUAAUUUGUGUCCAGCUUCCCCAAAAGAAAAUAGUUUCUUCAGUUUUUCAUUAGCUCUUUUGAUAAAAGGAGUGGUGUGUUAAUAUGACUAGAAUAAAGAAAAUGAUACAUUCAGCAUGGCUCAGUUUUCCCACAUUUCAAAUGGAAAACUUUUCUAGUCCUAAAAUAUGGUGUAAUCCUGUUCUGCUUUAAAUUCCCAUCUGUCUUUUACUCAACAGGAGGCAGGGUAAUUCUUAAAUAUUUAUAGAACAUUUGAUAAGUUCUAAAGAGAUGUAUUAUUUACAUUGUACAAGUUUUGUGUUGAUGUGCAGAUUGUUUUCUACAUCUGCAAGACUUCAUUCCAGCACCUUAGUGAAUGUUCUUAAGAUACAAUUUUUAAGUAUCAGCAAAGCAUUCAUAGAUGUUUACUUUUGAUUCUCAGAAUCCUGAACCUGUUUUGGGUAUGAUGUUACUUCACAACAUGUCUGGCACAAGAUUUCCUUUAAUAGUGGUUUAGUCUAACUCAAUUUCUGUGGAUUGUUGAACCGAAAAACACCAAAGGAGUUCUUUCUUGUCUGGAGACUGGAUUGUUCCAGUUUUUAAUACCUGUGCCCAUAAGUAUCCCAUUUCACGAGUGUGUGUUGGCAUGGGGGAAAAAUUCCCUGCUCUUUGAGUGGAGCGAAAGUAAUUGGUUAAGCUGUAGCAGCUUUUUUUGUUUAUUUUCUAAAGUGAUAAUAAAACUUGAACUGAAAAUGGUAAAACUUGAACUAGAAAACUACUCUUGUAUGCUUAGAAUGUUUAUAGUAUUACGUGUUUAUGUGAGGUUGUCAACAUUUUUAUUAUUUAUAGUUGAAUUAUGUUUUGUUUGUUAAAUAUCCAUAAUGUUUAUUAUUUUUAUAUUUUGAAAAAUUUUAAAAUAAAAUAGUCUUACUAAAAGCAGUUGUUAACUUUUUAAAAUUGUCUUGCAUUUUGCAUCAAUUAUAGUAACAUAGAAUAGAAAGGAAAACUUGCAGCCCUUGGGCACUGCACAAGUAGAAACAUAAAGUGCUUAUACUGUCAACUUCCAAGGCCAAUGAAAGUUUUUGGAACUUCCCUCCAUAAUUUUCAGUUUUCAUCUGAACAUUUCUUCUCCUGAUCUAAUUUGAUAUACUUUUCCAGCAUUCAGCAUGUUCAUUUCAUACUUAUUUUUAUUGAAUGAUAAAUAUUGCAAUAUUUGUUUUUUGUGUUUGUUUUUCAUUGCAGAUAUCCCUUCCAUCAUCUAUAACUUGGGUUAAAUAAGUUUGGUAAUAACCUGUCUUCCACUGCUUCUACAAGAAAAUACAUUAUCAUCUCAGUAUAUAAGUUUUGAUAAAAAUCUAGUUAAAGAGAUCUGGUUAUGAAAUAGUAGAAGUCUCUGGCUUAAAAUAGAGGACUUUGGUUAAUAAAUAAUGAUACUUGGUAAAAUUAUUAAAAAGAAUUAUAUAUAUAGAUAUAUACCUAUAUAUAGUACAAAUUACACACAAAAAUGUAAGCCUUUAAAGUCUUUCACAUUUUGAACCGUGUUUUAAUCUUAAAAUGACAUUUGUCCCUAAGAUCUCAUUUAAAUCAGAAUUUUCAGGGACAUUACCAACCCAUUAUUUAAAAAAAAUAACAUCUGUGAUUUAAAACUUCGUAGACAAUCCUGUAUUUUUUAUUAGAAGUCAGUGUUAGGAAGAAAUACUUAGAAGUUAUAGCCGUCUGCAAGUUUGGAGUUGGAUAGCUUUCAAAUUUGUACUAAGUUUAAUGCAGUAUUUGUUGUUGUUUAGGGUUUUUUGGGGGAUAAAUAACUGGAUAAUAUGCCAACUUCAUAUUUUUUUUCUUAUCAAGUUGAUAUUCAGAGUUAACAGAAAUUAAAGAAUGAUGAUAAAAAGGAAGAUCUCUGGCAUUUAACAAUUGUCAUGUCUGAAUGAGGUAAGAAUUUACAUAGAAACCAAACAGGUAACUCUUUGACAAAAAUAUUGAAUACUGAGCUGAUUAUUAGUCAUGACAGCCCUCACAUACAUCAUAUUUAUAAUAUUAAAUGGAUGAAAACUGCAUAUACUAAUGUAAUAUCCUAACCAACCAUUUUUUGGUCAACCUAAAAGGAGUAGGUCGUUAAAAUUUUGUUUUGUCAAGGUUUCCAGUGAAAAAAGAGAGAAUCCCCAGAUUGGGAGUGCUCACAAAAGAAUAGAGCCAUAUAAGGUGCCAAGGAUGGGAAGAGGAGGAUGGAUUAUAGAUUUAGUCCUGCAUUUGUGAAAAUUCUGACUGAAGCAGCCUGGAAGCAAGUAGUACUUUUUAUUUUUAUUUUUCUCCUCGACUGAUAAGCUUUAUGGAGCAUCAAAAGACAUGAAAAUUUCAUAGAAAAACAUGUAUCCAGGGCACAUCUAUUCAAGGUCCUGCUUGUGUUUCUCAUGGGGAUCCACUUAAGGAAGGGAUGAUGAUAGCAACCUGAGCGAGUUACAUUGCCCCCCACCCCAAUAACUCCCUCUUAUCUGCCACAAGAGCACCUCAGCACAACUUAUCACAUAAAGCCAUAAGCCACGCCACUCAGACCUAAUGUCCAGACUCAAUGUCCCAAGAUUUUUACUGUGCUAUGUAUGUAACCUACCUGUGACUGCCCUUACCCACUUGGACCUGGGAACAUUCCAAAUGUGAACAAUUAGGGCCUUCCUGUGUGCAGUCCCAACUAUGGCAUACUGCAAACUAUAAACUUAGAAAAAUCAAUUGCAUUUCUAUAUACUAGCUCUGAACACCUGGAGGCUGAAAUUAAAAAUACAGUGCCAAUUAUAAUAAGCGAAAAAGUGACAUACUUGUGUGUAAAUCUAAAAAGCUGUGUACAGGACUUGUAUGCUGAAAACUACAAAAUGCUGAUUAAAAAAAAAAGAAAAGGAGACCUAAGUAAAUGGAGAGACUCAUGGGUCGGAGAACCCAAUGUAGUAAGUGUGUCACUUCUCCCCAGACUGAUACACAGGUUUGACAUAAGUAAUUUUCUUUUUGGUAGAUACAAGAUCAUACAAGAAUUUAUAUGGAAAGGCCAAAAAAGAACUAGAAUAACUAAAAUGAUUUUUUUAAAAGAAGAAUCAAGUGGGUGAAAUUAUCCAAUUUCAAGACUUAUAACUAUAGUAAUCAGGACUGUGUUCUUGAUGGGAGGGAUAGACAUAUAGAGAUCACAGAAGUAGACCCACAUGAGUGUGCCCAACUGAUUUUUAACAAGGUGCAAAAACAGUUGAAUGGAGGAAAUAAUUGCCUUUUCAACAAACAGUCCUGGAACGAUUGGUCAUCCCUCGGCAAAAACAAAAUGAACCCUGACCUAAAUCUCACACCUUACUCAACUCAAAAUGGAUCAUGGACUUAAAUAUAAAGCUAUAACUUUUAGGAAGAACAAAGCAUCUGGAAAAAUCUUUGGAACCUAGGGCUAGGCAAAAAAGUUCUUAAGACUAGAUACCAAAAGCUUAAUCCAUAGAAGUAUGAUAGAUUGAACUUCAUCAAAAUUUAAAACUUCUGCUCUGUGAAAGAAUCUGUUAAAAGGACAAAGAGAUAAGCUACAAAGUGGAAGAAAGUACUUGCAAACCACAUUUCUAUUAUGUGUCAGGAUUGGUAUCUAGAUUGUAUCAUUAACUCAAAGCAAAACAAUAAAAAAGCCAGCAAUCCAAUUAGAAUAUAGGCAAAAGACAUAGAGACAUUUCCUCAAAGAUGACAUUCAGAUGACAAAUAAGCUUGUGAAAAGAUACUCAACAUUCUUUGCCAUUAGGGAAAUGAGAAAAUUAAAACCACAAUGUGACAUCACUACAUACCUAUCAGAAUGGCCAAAGUAAAACAGUGACAACACUAAACGCUGUCAAGGAUGCAGAGAAACUGGGUCACAAAUACCCAGUACAUUGCUGGUGAGAAUUGGAUAGCAACUCUGGAAAACAGUGUGGCAGUUUCUUAAAUAGCCCAACAUACAACUAUCAUAUGAACUAGCAGUUAUACUCCUGGGCAUUUAACUUAUUUUCACGCAAAUACCUGUACACGUUCUCAUAGAAGCUUUAUUCAUAAUAGUAAAAAACUGGAAAUAAUCCACAGCAUUCAAUGGGUGAAUGGUUACGGAUAACAUCCGUUCCAUGAAAAUACUACUCAGCAGUAAAAAAAAAAAAAACUAUUGAUACAUGCCACUCCGGGAUGAAUCUCCAGAGAUUACACUGAAUGAAAUAAGCCAGCCCCAAAAAGCUACUGUGUGAAUUCCAUUUAUAUAGUAUUCUUGAAAUGACAAAAUUAUAGAGAUGAACAGACUAGUAGUUGCCAGGGAUUAUGGAGGUGGUGGCGGUAGGAGGAAAGCAGAUGUGGCUGUGAAAGGGAAACGAGGGAUCCUUAUGGUGAUGGAAACUGUUCUCAUCUAUCAAUGUAAGCAUACUGGUUGUGAUAAUUGUACUAUAGUUUUGCAAGAUACUACCAUUGGAUUAGCAGAAAUUUGGUAAAGGGUAAUGGGACCUCUGUGUUAUUUCUUAUAGCUGCAUGUGAAUUUUAAUUAUCUCGAAAUCAAAAGUUUAAUUUUAAAAACAAUAAAGGCAGAAUAACAUCUAACUAGUCCCAUUUUAGGGUGCAAUCUAGGGAAAUGCCUUGGAUGUGUGCCCCCCAUAAAGAAUGAGGUUUUGGGAAUUCCCUGGUGGUCCAAUGGUUAGGACUCCGCACUUCCAUUGCAGGGGGCACAGGUCCCCUGGUCGGGGAACUAAGAUCCCGCAUGCCGUGUGGCGCAGCCAAAAGAAAAGAAAAAGGUCUUGAGAACAAGUAUUUGAGGUGUAUAAAAGCAAUGAAUUGAGUUUGCACACUUGAGAACUUUUGGAAUUACUGCAGACUUAUUUCUCUCACUGGUUACACCACAGCCAGUGCCAGUAAAUGAAGUAGUUCUAUAUAUAUGUUGCAUGUUAAUUCUUCCCAUCAGCAUUGCUGCCUGAAAGGGACUUCAGACUGAGAAAUGGCACAGCUCACCUACCUAUGAAAAGGUGGGUGAGGAGUAAAACAAUUGAUUCUUAUCUCACUCUUCCUGUCCUUUACCAUAGUUCAGGAGGGUUGAAAUCAUCCAAAAGGGGAAGGAAACAGAACAAAAGCAAAAUUUUAAAUGCUCUGAAGGAACAGAGUUUCAUGAAAGUAUAAAGCAAAUGGAUCUGACUUAGGAAAGGCUUCCCGUAACAAGUGAUCUUUCAUUUGAGAUGAGAGCUAAGCAGUCUACUAUGGGGGAGCAUAUUCUUGAGGGAGUGAACAGUUUUGUACAGAAGUACUAUAGAGGGACCAGAUGUGCAUUUGAAGAAUGAGAGAAACCCAGUGUGGCUACAAGGCAGAGAUACACAAUUUGAGAAUUACUUAUUACAGAAAUCUUAAUCUGUCAGCAUGAAAUUCCUAGAGGUCAAGUAUAGAGUGAGGAACUCUACAUUUAAUCCAGAUAAUGUGGACAGAUUCUGCAAAGGAAAAUUAGAAGGGGCAAUGACAGAGGUAGAAAAAAACCCAGGAAUGGGAGUUAUAGAGGCCAAAAUAAAAAAAGCCCACUUUGCUUUAUAAGGAAAUGAUCAACAGUUUUAAAUGUUGCAAGGUAAAGUAAGAUGAAAUGUGAAAAUGUCCAUUGGAUUUUAGGAUAAGGAAGUCAUUGAUAACCCUGGAAUGUGUUUUUGUCUUUUUUUGUUUUGCUUAUUUGCUUUUUAAUGAUGGAUAUCGGAGACAAUGUAUAGGCUAAGGAGUGAAAUGAGGGUAAGGAUAUGGAGACAGAGUAUAGACAAGUUUUUUGAGAAGAUUUUUAAGGGUAGAAGAGAGAUUAGUAGUUUGCAAGGCAGAUGAGAUAAAGGGAGGCCAGAGGCCUAAUCAUGUUUAAAUCACUGCAGAAAGGAGUCCCAAUUAGAAGACAGAGUAGACAAUAAUGAUAGUUUACGGUGCCCAAAAGAUGGGAUGAGAAGAGAUCCAAAGCACAAUUAGAAGGACUGCUCCUAGGUAGUAAUACAUACAAGUCGUCCACUGGAGGACUAACUGGAGACAAGGAGAGAAAGAAAAUUUCAUUAUGAUUUUAGGUUUGGUAAUGGAAUUAAAGGAGUUCCCAUCAAAUGACUUCAGUUUUCUUUACAAGUAGGAAUAUCAUUUGCUACAUAGCCCUCACCUGUGUAACUGCUGUAUAGCAUCCCCCUUUUACCAUCUUUCUCAGUUAUACCUGAGAAUCUCCUAAAUAUCUAGUCUUAACUAGUCCCCUCACAUUCUUCCUUACCAGAAUCAUCUGGACUCUUCACGAAGGCCUCUAUCACUAUGUGGCCUCUGUUAAAACACUGCUUUACUGGUAACCCUCAUAGUGUCCUUCUCCCCUACCCAGGACACCAGAGCUGCACUGAGCUGUGAGAAAGUCAAUGACCCUUCUCCAACUCUGUCAGUCUUUGUUCCUGGGAUCCAGUGUAUAGCAUCUGCUCAGAGCCUGUCUCUCUUGAACACAGCUCUUCUAUUUCCUGCCCUAAACCUCUCAUGCCAGUGGGUAAACAAACAUCUUGCUAUCUCAGAAUCCUUUUUUUGCCCUUUCUACUCUCUUUUUUUAUAUUUAGGCGAAAAAGUAGUUUUCAUAAAUAUCAAUUAAUGAAAAUAAGCGGUCAGAGGAGUGGCAAAAGCAUGAAGUAAUUAGAAUGUAAAGGGUUUUAAGGAAAAUAGAAGGAUAGAAGGAGUCUGAAAAGAAGGUUUAGAGCAUGGUAAGAACUUUGAACUUCAUACUGUGGUGUUGCCACUGAAAGGUUUGAAAGUUUAUAAGAAAGAAGGUGAUGGAAUGAAAGGAAGACAGGGAUGAGGGCAGGGUAGUGUUAAAUGAUUAUAUUUGCAGUUUUGAAAGAUCAUUUUUGCAGUGGUAAGGAGGGUGAAUUGGAGGCAGGGAGGACAGUGAGCAUAACAAGGGCAGAGAAACCCCAGGUUUCUGGGCUGAGCAGUAAAGCUGACUGGUUGUGGGAUUGGGAACUGGCUUGUAAAAAAGGAAAGAAGUUGAAUUCAUUUCUGACAUGUUGAGCUUCAGGGCCUGUAGCAUAUCAAAAUGGAAAUAACCUGUGGGCAGAUGUCUGCUAUCUGAAGCCCAGGAGAGAAAUCUGGGAUGCAGAUACAGGGCUGGGAACCAUAUAUAAGAAUGAGAUUUCCCAGUGAAGGACACAUAGCAUUCAAAGAGGGAAGACAGGAUGGUGAACUCCAUUAUUUGCAAGGACUGGAGGAGGAGGUAACCAUGAAGUAGAUGAAAAAAGUUGCUAGAAGAAGACCAAACUGAAGUGAUGUCACAAAAGCCAGUGAAGGAGAGAACUUCACAAAUGGGGACUUAAUCAAAUAAGUCAAGUAAGGUCAAGAUGGAUUGACAAUUCAUAAGUCUGUACGUAGCUUAAUGGAAGGAAAAGACAUGCUGAUGUGGAACGAAGAGUAACUGGGAUGCUAGGUGGAGACAAUGUAGGAAACUCAAAGUGGAAGGCAAAAUUCAGUGUGGUAGCUUGCUGGGUAAAGGAAAGGUGGUGGUUGAUUCUUUUUAGAAUGGCAGAAACAUGAGCUCAUUUUAUAGACUGAAGGAAAAGAGUCAAUGGAAGGAAGAGAUUAAGAAUGUAAGGGAAUUUGUUUAUAAUUGAUAAGGUGUUUCAGGGUACACCGUGGAAAGGGAUGACAGAGCAGUUGUGAGAAGAGUGAUGAGAGUAUGCUAGAAUGUGGUCGCCAAGGCCCAAGUGGAAUGUGGCAGAGAGAAAUGCAUGGAACUAGCCAAAUUCUGUAUUUUAAAUCAGUUUUGAUAGUGCUUUUGGUCAUUACUGAGGCAGGUGUCAGGUGCUGGGGGAUGCUGGUUGUCAUUUGCAACCAAUCCCCACAAAUCUAAACACAACUGGAAUAUUGUAAUUGUCCAUUACAAAAUGUAAGUACUUUGCUCAUAAUAAGCAUCCAAAUGGAUUAGGCUGCUCUGGACUUUUCUGGAAAAGAGAGAAGGGAAAUUAUUAAUAAUAAACGUGUAGGAAGGGGUAGUGAGGAGAGGGAAAAUACCAAGGGAAGAAAGAUGAAAUAACAAAGCCUGGCACCAGAAUUAAAAAGACCCUGUGUAAGUAAAAUGUGUUUGUCUAUGCUUUCCAGGAAUAAAAGAAAAUUUUGGGUUUUUCUUUUCUUUUCUUUCUUUCUUUCUUUUUUUUUUUUUUUUAACUCUGAACUGUUUAUUUCUUUCAAGCUGUGUCUUGAUGCCUGGAGUAAUGAAAAUCUUCCCAGGGCAAGAGUUGUUAACUUUGGCUCCUGCUACUGCUUCCUAGAAAUGAGUAAUGUAAGAAUCUCCUGGUUGCUGGUGAUUGUUCUCCAAGGUUCUGAGCACAAAGGAGGUGCCACCCUGAGCCUGAACCUCUUUGCAGAGACACACUUGAAGAUGAACUGACUAUAUUAACUACAGAGAGGACCUCUGCCUUGGAGAUGGAAGCCUGUUAAGAGAAAAGCUGCGAUGUCUCGGAUUUCUUUCCAUUGUGUUUCGCUUUAAAAAUUUUAAACUUUGCUUCAGUCCUAAAGCCUGUGGUACAAGAACACAGCUUUCCAAUCUUAACUAUUUUCCAAUGUAGGAUAAACAUGUUGGGUUUAGUUAAAUUAUGAAUGCUGAUAAUAUUCAUUUGGUACAAUUUAUAUUCUUCUUUUAUCUUUUUAUUUUUGACAGUUUAGGCUAGGGCAUAAAGCAUUAUUAUAUUCUUGGCAUCCUCCCUUAGAAGUUUUAAAUCAGUUCAUGAGGCUUUCAGCGCGCUUCCUGUCAUUCAUCCAUCAGCAUCCAGUCCAUUUAAUCCCGGCCUCUCAGCCGAGCUGCCCUAGCCCCUGUUGUGAGUGAUUGGCCUGCUCCAGCGCUCCCAGCUUCUCCUGUCACAUCGCAUUUGCAUAAAAGAGGACAGAUAACCAAAUUUGAGCACACAAAUGAAAAUGCUAAGCGCUAAACCUGUCACAGUUGUUGUUCAACUAAUUGUGAAAAAUUUGAUUUGCUUGCCUUUCACUGUUUGUCAUGUGGACCCCCUUCUCAAAUGUGCCUUGGCUUCUGCCUCUGUACAUGUAGCUUUUAAACUCUUGAGCACAAGCAGCCCACCCUGGGGAUUACUUACCUCUCCUACCAGCUUUUAAUGUUGGCUCAUCUUCUUGACUAAAUUAGGCCACCAUGGCAAACAAACACAUAAUUAAAAACCCAGGAAAGACAACUGCAGUUGCACUUCUUAAAUUGAUUUUUACAAUGCUGAUGGAUGCCUCUGUGUGUUCUUCCAUUUGAUAAUUUUAUUUCUUUAUAUAACCUUUUGGUAGGAGAAAAUUAAGAAUGGGCGUUGUAGAAACCUUUAUGUUAUUUUAAAACCUAUGUGUUAUUUUGCUCCUUUCUGUUCCUCAAAUAACAAAACUUGUAUAAUGGGUCUUAAAAAGCAUAUUUCUGUUCCGUAAUACUUUACCUGCCAUACCAGUAUACAUUUUUAAUCAAGGUUUCAAAUGAUUCCAUUUGAAAUUGUAUUAGAAACAAUGGAUAAAAUUCCUUUGCUCACAAUACUCAAUCACAUGAGCUGUUUAAAUGGUAGGUAGUAUGAGUGUUUUGAAAAUUUGUAUGUGUACUAUGUACAGUCUCGUUCAAUAUUUGUUAUAAAGAGGCUUUAACUUGUUUUUACAGGCAUUAAGUUGGUAAUUUCUUGAUGCUCAUUAAAACAAUACAUAAUGGUAUCUCUAUAAAGUCAAAAACCUUGUUUUCCAGGAGUCGCACGAGAAAAUGUCUCUUUCAUUUAUAACAAUACCUCUCAUUGCUUUACUGCAUUAAUUUGUUUCUAAUAUUUUAGGUAUGUGAUGUUCAAGCAACAAAGAAGAGGGCAUUAACUAAAGUUGAAACCUUUUAGGGUUGAAUACAGCUUAAAUUACCUUGAAGAAUUGGAGGGUUAUAUUCUUGAAAUUGGGUUAAAAUGAAAUGUGACAUUACAGUGACAGUUUGUGGUUUGCAAAAGUUGGAUGCAACAUCAUUUAUUGCAGUAUUCCUUUGGGAUUUAUUUUUAGUAGGUCAUAUGAAAUGGAUUAAAGAAAUAUUUGAACGG
Aethalodelphis obliquidens (Pacific white-sided dolphin) is the source of this 11061-nucleotide long non-coding RNA. RefSeq lists it as uncharacterized. Lineage: Eukaryota; Metazoa; Chordata; Mammalia; Artiodactyla; Delphinidae. The transcript has 2 exons. The record is from RefSeq and is a predicted model, not a curated record.